This 433-nucleotide ribosomal RNA is filed under the name uncultured delta proteobacterium. RNAcentral describes it as "bacterial SSU rRNA". It matches the Rfam family "Bacterial small subunit ribosomal RNA", at positions 1065 to 1499 of the family's 1533-position model. The record is from RNAcentral. Lineage: Bacteria; Deltaproteobacteria.
CCGUGAGGGUUGGGUUAAGUCCGCAACGAGCGCAACCCUAUUGUUAGUUGCCAUCACAUAAUGGUGGGCACUCUAAUGAGACUGCCCGGGUCAACCGGGAGGAAGGUGGGGACGACGUCAAGUCAUCAUGGCCCUUACGCCUAGGGCUACACACGUACUACAAUGGUGCAUACAAAGGGUUGCGAAACCGCGAGGUCAAGCCAAUCCCAAAAAAUGCAUCCCAGUCCGGAUCGGAGUCUGCAACUCGACUCCGUGAAGUUGGAAUCGCUAGUAAUCCCGGAUCAGCAUGCCGGGGUGAAUACGUUCCCGGGCCUUGUACACACCGCCCGUCACACCACGAAAGCUGGUUCUACCCGACAACGGCGGACUAACCCUUCGGGAGGUAGUCGUCUACGGUAGGGCUGGUGAUUGGGGUGAAGUCGUAACAAGGUAC